UCCGUAGGCGGGCAAUUAAGUCAGAGGUGAAAUCCCACAGCUCAACUGUGGAACUGCCUUUGAUACUGGUUGUCUUGAGUUAUAGUGAAGUAGAUAGAAUAUGUAGUGUAGCGGUGAAAUGCAUAGAUAUUACAUAGAAUACCGAUUGCGAAGGCAGUCUACUGACUGUAUACUGACGCUAAUGGACGAAAGCGUGGGGAGCGAACAGGAUUAGAUACCCUGGUAGUCC
Molecule: ribosomal RNA, 229 nt
Filed under: uncultured bacterium
Lineage: Bacteria
Description: partial 16S ribosomal RNA
Rfam family: Bacterial small subunit ribosomal RNA
Source: RNAcentral